AGCAGCCGCGGUAAUUCCAGCUCCAAUAGCGUAUAUUAAAGUUGUUGCAGUUAAAAAGCUCGUAGUUGAAUUUCAGGCCUGGCUGGACGGUCCGCCCUUCGGGUGAGUACUGUCUGUGGUCGGGUCCUACCUUCUGGCGAAGCGUCAUGGCCUUAACCGGCCGUGGCGGGGAACCAGGACUUUUACUGUGAAAAAAUUAGGGUGUUCAAAGCAGGCAAAUCGCUUGGAUACAUUAGCAUGGAAUAAUGGAAUAGGACAGUGGUUCUAUUUGUUGGUUUCUAGGACCGUUUGUAAUGAUUAAUAGGGAUAGUUGGGGGCAUUAGUAUUCAAUUGUCAGAGGU
RNAcentral lists this ribosomal RNA (341 nucleotides) under uncultured Glomeromycotina. RNAcentral's name for it is "SSU rRNA". It matches the Rfam family "Eukaryotic small subunit ribosomal RNA", at positions 569 to 912 of the family's 1831-position model. Lineage: Eukaryota; Fungi; Glomeromycota. The record is from RNAcentral.